GAGAGGUAAUUUGAUCAUAACUUCUAGUAGGAAUGUCCAAAUGACGAACGACUUGAUACGUUAGAAACUAGACUCAAAGGGCUACACUUUAAGUACAAAAUUCAUGGAAAUUAUCUUCACAUUAUGAGAGUUAUACCCGUCCAAAGGCAGGUGUUGUACAAAUUAAGACACCUUUUCUGCUUAAUAUUUCCAACUUUCGCCAAUUAGUGCCAAAACCUUUUAGACUUAUCCAAAUGCAAAUCCAGACAUACGCCCAAAUCCAAAAUCACCAUCCAGACCUAACGGAAUCAUCAAAACUCCGAUCCGAGGUCGAAUAAUAAAAGUCAAAUUUGGUCAACUCUUUCAACUUAAGGGUUCCAACAUGGAAUGUAUUCUUCCGAACAUGUUCUGAAACAUCUGAAAACAAAACCGAUGAUUCAUACACAUCAUAAUAUAUCAUAUGAAAUUAUUCAAGACUUCAAAUAGUUCGAAGGAGCAUAAAUAUUCAAAACGACAAGUCGAGUCGUUACAAAUGAGCUGUUAAUUGGAAAGAAUAUUUAUCACAAUAUAUGCCUCUUCACCGGUUUACCUCAUAGCUUUAAUAGUUUAACGUUAGCUGAAGAACUUUUGGUUUCUUUUCAGAUCAAUGUUCACUUUUAUAAAUGGAAAUGUAUAACCCUCACCAUUAAAGAAACAAUAGAUCAAGAAAGCAGCAGAUUUACUAGGUAUGUUCAUUUUUUAUUUUUUUUUUCCUAUGAGUAUUCAUGACACUAUAUAUUUUUAUUUAUGCUAAUUUUUAUUGUCACUUUGUAAUAUUAUUAAUUAUUUCACCGGAUAAUAAAUUGCACAAGUAUCAACUUUCGUAAUAAAGCAAAUUGACUAGCUUGUGAGUUUUUGAGAAAUGAUUUCUUAUAAUCAAGCUAAUCGACUAGCUAAUAAAUUUUUGAGAAAUUUGGUCUUUGUAAAAUAAUGAGCUUUAUUAGAAGUUUCAUGACAUUUCUUUUCUUCUUCUUUUUUUCCUUUUGCUAAAUAAAUUUCAAAUUCUUGGAAAGAGCAUGUUCCAUGGAUAGGGUGUGCAACUUACCGUCACUAUUUUUUAAUCAUUAUCUUUCUUAUUGAUCUUUUUCUCGCUCGUUGACCCAUUUUAUUGAUUGAUUGAUUCUACGUAGAUGUUUAUGUUUUCCCAAUACUCCUCUCUUGGCAUAAAAAAGAAAAUAAAAAAUAAGAAAGAAAAAAAAACAAAGAUUUUGCUUUGUUAAUGGUUAAUAAGGAAUGAGCUAAUUUAUGGCAUUUUGAAAAAUAUAGCACUUACUAUAUACACAUAAAAAUCGGAACUAUUACAUUACACUUUAUGCAAGCAUAUAUAACACCGGACUUUACAUCAUAUCACUUUGCUCUUGUGUUUACUCUCUUUGUCAGUACAUAGUUGCUCUUUCAAAAACGAAAAUGAAUAUUUCAUAUUUGUUAUGUAAAUUAGGCAAUUGAUUUUACUAGAGCAGGUACUUCAAGAAUAUUGUCUAUAAGAAAAUAUUAAAUACGAUUCGAAUAUAUUUUAUGUUUGCCCCUAAUAAUUUGAAAAUGUAACUCUUUAUAUAUUUUACAUACAUAACUAAAUUUAGUUGUUUAAUUUUGCAGGUUCACACAAUAUCUAAUCAUAUGUCGUUCAAUAAAGAUGUCAAGAAUAAGGUGACCACUCAUCAAUUUAAGUUUGUUUUUUUUUUCCUUAAAUUUUCUAUUACUCAUCACACUUACAGUUUUAAUGUGAUGCAUAUGUCAUUUCAUUCGGUACUACUUUCAUAGGACACACAUGUGCAAGUUUGUAACGCACGCCUUUAAGAACUAGUAUAUUUUCAAAAAAGUACUCUUUAGUCUUUUACGGUUCAAAAUAAUUGUAUGUUAGUCAAAUCAAUUUUGCACAAAUAGUGCUGCGUUAGGAAAUUAAGAAAGCAUUAAUUAUUAUUUUUUAAUUCUACUCUUAAUCCAAUAAAAUAAUCUAAAAAAUACUGAAAUGAGAUAAAUAGUAACUAGAGGAGAUAUAAAGGGUGAUUUACAGAUUUAAUCUAAUAACCCUUAUAAUUAAGUCUAUUAAAUAAUUUUCUGAAUGGGUGUGCCACAUUCAUAAACGAGCUUAGAGUGUGUUUUUUUUAUAAUAGAAGUUAUUUUCCAACGAGAAUAACUUUUAUGAGAAAGUCAUUUUCAGCGGAGGCGGAGCUAAAAUUUGAAAUGUAUGGGUUCUAAAUUAUAAUUUAUAAAUACAGGGUCUCGAAAAAAGUCAUCGAUUUUUCUUCUACUGUAGCUCUAUUGUAGCUCUGCCGCGACUACAUAUGAAAGUUUUCUUCUUAAUAAGGGCAUAAGGCCACUCCAUGUGAAUGCAAGUUGGUCUCACUAAGAAAUUAAAAACAAGAAAGUAGGACAACAACCACAUACCUUGUCUAUCGGCUUGUCGGAGACUCCAAAUUUGAACUUUUGGAAAGAAUCAAAGCACAAAUUGAUAAAGAGAAUGAAGUUCAAAAUGUGGGACAACCCUAAAAUCAAAAAUUAAAAAUCAGAUUUUGUAUAAAUUGUCAAAUAUAAAAUAUAAGAGGAAAACAUGAAAGAAAAAAAUCAGGAAAGAAGAAUUAAAGAAGGGAAAAGGGUCUAACUGCUAAGGGAAAAAGAGCAUACUAUACAGUGAGAGUUGAAAGGCGUCUAGAUCCGGCAGAUUGUGGUAGCAGCGCCAGCAAUCAACAGAGGUAGAACCCUAGCUUUUUUAUUUGGGAUUGAGAAGAUGAGAAGACGUGUUUUUGUUUAG
This 2770-nucleotide long non-coding RNA is filed under the name Nicotiana tabacum (common tobacco). RNAcentral's name for it is "long non-coding RNA (NTAB_LNC010326)". The record is from RNAcentral. Lineage: Eukaryota; Viridiplantae; Streptophyta; Magnoliopsida; Solanales; Solanaceae.